RNAcentral lists this long non-coding RNA (963 nucleotides) under Oryctolagus cuniculus (rabbit). RNAcentral describes it as "lncRNA (ENSOCUG00000035237.1)". Lineage: Eukaryota; Metazoa; Chordata; Mammalia; Lagomorpha; Leporidae. The record is from RNAcentral.
AUUGUCACCAUGAUAUCACUCUUGGAGUCCAAAAAAAAUUAAAAAGGAUUUACCCAAAUAAUUAAACCGAGCUCACUAGUCGAGGAGAUUUUUCACUUGGCAUUAAGCACUUGACAGCAAGAUCUUCCUUAGCAACCAGUAAAUCACAAUCUCUUGGCUUUGUUCACCCCUAUCAUCAUCCAUUUGGGCACUUGCGUUGUUAUCGACAUUGCACAGGUACACACAGAAUGUCUGUGAAGUAAGUCGAAGGUCUCAGUGUUUUGUUGGAAUAAAGCUCUUUUCCCUGGAAUACUUUAAAUAGGGUGUUUGAUAGCAUUUCAGAAUGUGAACUACAGCAGGAAUCAGGAAUCAGUGCUGAUAUUUUUCUCAGAUAAAUCACUGCACUGAUGUCACCAUCACUAUGACAACAUUGUGAAAAGGACUAGUCACUCAAGCUACCUAGUAAAAGGCAGUGCAUCCACUUUCUGAAUCAAAUGUAAUACGUAGGACCUCUGCUUUUGUAAUCAGAUGAGUACCUUCAUGGUUAGGACGUGUUGACUCAUAAUUGGAUGAAGAAACAAUUCUUGUUUGUGUUUCUCUAAAGGCAUGCUCCAGCCUCCGAAACACACAGGUCUUUACUUGCUAUCACCAUCUGCCAGAAAAUAUUCCGAGUUAAACAGAAGCAGCCAAAGAAUAAUCCCACCUGCAGAUGCUGUUCAACUGAGAAAUUAAUCCCAACCAUUGAAAACUGCCAUGGGCACUUGCAAGUAUCCCCUUUGCUCCAUUGUCUACCACUUAGAAAGUAUAGGUUCUCGAGACGAGGCAAUUCUUUGUGCUGUUCCACACUGAAUUUCCUGGAUUUAGUGGACUGGCUGGCCUUUUGAAAUACUGGUGCUGAUAGUUCAUCAUCAUCAUCACCAUCAUCACCACCACCACCAUCAUCAAUAUCAUCAUGGCAAUUAAUAAAUGGAGGAAGUCAUACCA